RNAcentral lists this transfer RNA (69 nucleotides) under Tamandua tetradactyla (southern tamandua). RNAcentral describes it as "transfer RNA-Gly". Lineage: Eukaryota; Metazoa; Chordata; Mammalia; Pilosa; Myrmecophagidae. The record is from RNAcentral.
ACCCUUUUAGUAAAAAUAAGUACAGCUGACUUCCAAUUAGCAAGUUCCAGACAAACCUGGAAAAGGGUA